GGCUGGCAAGCCGAACGGUGACAGAGAGAAGUGCCCUGGAGUUUUUGUACGAUGGACAAGAGGGGCAGUUGGAUGUCAAAAGUGGCGUUCCAGUGCAUUCUGCGCAGCGGGCGGAACGAAGCAGCAGUGCCGUAUGUGUACAUUCGGGAAGGGACGUCGUCGAAUGGCUGGCUUCAGAGAGCAACAA
This 187-nucleotide non-coding RNA is filed under the name Scrippsiella trochoidea. The record is from RNAcentral. Lineage: Eukaryota; Dinophyceae; Peridiniales; Peridiniaceae.